UACAGAGGUCCCAAGCGUUGUUCGGAUUCAUUGGGCGUAAAGGGUGCGUAGGUGGCGCCAUAAGUCAGGUGUGAAAUUUCGGAGCUUAACUCCGAAACUGCAUUUGAUACUGUGGUGCUUGAGGACUGGAGAGGAGACUGGAAUUUACGGUGUAGCAGUGAAAUGCGUAGAGAUCGUAAGGAAGACCAGUGGCGAAGGCGGGUCUCUGGACAGUUCCUGACGCUGAGGCACGAAGGCCAGGGGAGCAAACGGG
This 253-nucleotide ribosomal RNA is filed under the name uncultured bacterium. RNAcentral describes it as "partial 16S ribosomal RNA". It matches the Rfam family "Bacterial small subunit ribosomal RNA", at positions 524 to 776 of the family's 1533-position model. The record is from RNAcentral.